CAGUAAGAACAACUAGAUGAAGAAUUAGUUAAAUCACUCUAACAACAAUUCACAUUAGCAAACCAUAAAUCAACAUUUGAAGAACCCCGAAUCUAACAAUAAGACUACUCAGACAUAUUUGUAAGAAACAUUAUGAUGGUCUGGAUAAUACUGCAAUAGAAUAAAUGAAAAACAAAGUAGAGUAGAGAAACAAAUGGAGUUCAACAUCUUCUCUCAAAUGAUGUUCAGAUCUCUCUCUCCAAUCCUAAGAUCUCUCUCUCUCUCUCUAGAUAUGAGGUGUGCCUCCCCAAACAAGCGUAAAAUAAGUCUCUCUC
RNAcentral lists this long non-coding RNA (314 nucleotides) under Brassica napus (rape). RNAcentral describes it as "long non-coding RNA (BNAP_LNC022752)". Lineage: Eukaryota; Viridiplantae; Streptophyta; Magnoliopsida; Brassicales; Brassicaceae. The record is from RNAcentral.